UGCGUAGGCGGCGCCGUAAGUCAGAUGUGAAAGCCCGGGGCUCAACCCCGGAAUUGCAUCCGAUACUGCGGUGCUUGAGAACUGGAGAGGAGUCUAGAAUUUUCGGUGUAGCAGUGAAAUGCGUAGAUAUCGAAAGGAAUACCAAAGGCGAAGGCCGGACUCUGGACAGUUUCUGACGCUGAGGCACGAAGGCCAGGUAGCAACG
RNAcentral lists this ribosomal RNA (205 nucleotides) under uncultured bacterium. RNAcentral's name for it is "partial 16S ribosomal RNA". It matches the Rfam family "Bacterial small subunit ribosomal RNA", at positions 568 to 773 of the family's 1533-position model. The record is from RNAcentral.